UGGGGAAUAUUGCACAAUGGGGGAAACCCUGAUGCAGCGACGCCGCGUGAGUGAAGAAGUAUUUCGGUAUGUAAAGCUCUGUCAGCAGGGAAGAAAAUGACGGUACCUGACCAAGAAGCCCGGCUAACUACGUGCCAGCAGCCG
RNAcentral lists this ribosomal RNA (144 nucleotides) under uncultured bacterium. RNAcentral's name for it is "partial 16S ribosomal RNA". It matches the Rfam family "Bacterial small subunit ribosomal RNA", at positions 355 to 517 of the family's 1533-position model. The record is from RNAcentral.